GGUGAGCGGCGGACGGGUGAGUAACGCGUGGGAAUAUGCCCUUCUCUAAGGAAUAGCCUCGGGAAACUGAGAGUAAUACCUUAUACGCCCUACGGGGGAAAGAUUUAUCGGAGAAGGAUUAGCCCGCGUUAGAUUAGGUAGUUGGUGGGGUAAUGGCCUACCAAGCCUACGAUCUAUAGCUGGUUUGAGAGGAUGAUCAGCCACACUGGGACUGAGACACGGCCCAGACUCCUACGGGAGGCAGCAGUAGGGAAUCUUAGACAAUGGGGGAAACCCUGAUCUAGCCAUGCCGCGUGUGUGAUGAAGGCCUUAGGGUCGUAAAGCACUUUCGCCAGAGAUGAUAAUGACAGUAUCUGGUAAAGAAACCCCGGCUAACUCCGUGCCAGCAGCCGCGGUAAUACGGAGGGGGUUAGCGUUGUUCGGAAUUACUGGGCGUAAAGCGCACGUAGGCGGAUUAGUAAGUUAGAGGUGAAAUCCCAGGGCUCAACCCUGGAACUGCCUUUAAUACUGCUAGUCUUGAGUUCGAGAGAGGUAAGUGGAAUUCCGAGUGUAGAGGUGAAAUUCGUAGAUAUUCGGAGGAACACCAGUGGCGAAGGCGGCUUACUGGCUCGAUACUGACGCUGAGGUGCGAAAGUGUGGGGAGCAAACAGGAUUAGAUACCCUGGUAGUCCACACCGUAAACGAUGAAUGCCAGACGUCG
This 700-nucleotide ribosomal RNA is filed under the name uncultured bacterium. Its description in RNAcentral is "bacterial SSU rRNA". It matches the Rfam family "Bacterial small subunit ribosomal RNA", at positions 90 to 825 of the family's 1533-position model. The record is from RNAcentral.